GGAGAGAUGGCUGAGUGGUUGAAGGCAUCGCUUUCGAAAAGCGACAAGGGGUUAUUCCCUUCGUGGGUUCAAAUCCCACUCUCUCCG
RNAcentral lists this transfer RNA (87 nucleotides) under Candidatus Campbellbacteria bacterium CG22_combo_CG10-13_8_21_14_all_36_13. RNAcentral's name for it is "tRNA-Ser". It matches the Rfam family "tRNA". From Rfam's summary of the family: Transfer RNA (tRNA) molecules are approximately 80 nucleotides in length. Their secondary structure includes four short double-helical elements and three loops (D, anti-codon, and T loops). The record is from RNAcentral. Lineage: Bacteria; Candidatus Campbelliibacteriota.